This 339-nucleotide unclassified non-coding RNA is filed under the name soil metagenome. Its description in RNAcentral is "partial contains 5.8S ribosomal RNA, internal transcribed spacer 2, and large subunit ribosomal RNA". The stretch from base 1 to 120 matches the Rfam family "5.8S ribosomal RNA", at positions 35 to 154 of the family's 154-position model. The record is from RNAcentral.
GAUGAAGAACGUAGCGAAAUGCGAUAACUAAUGUGAAUUGCAGAAUUCAGUGAAUCAUCGAGUCUUUGAACGCACAUUGCGCCCCCUGGUAUUCCGGGGGGCAUGCCUGUCCGAGCGUCAUUGCUGCCCUCAAGCACGGCUUGUGUGUUGGGCUCCGUCACCCCGGGGACGGGCCCGAAAGGCAGCGGCGGCACCGAGUCCGGUCCUCGAGCGUAUGGGGCUUUGUCACCCGCUCUGUAGGCCCGGCCGGCGCCAGCCGACAACCCAUCAUCCUUUUCAGGUUGACCUCGGAUCAGGUAGGGAUACCCGCUGAACUUAAGCAUAUCAAUAAGCGGAGGA